UAAAAAGUGCAGCUCCUGUUCCUUAUCAGAGGGUGGAGAGAACAAGGUGAUUGAGUUGCUGGAUUCAUGAAUAACAUCUGUGUGAUUAGGGCUCCCCGCCCCCUCACAACACCCUAAUCGUAACUGAU
This 128-nucleotide small nucleolar RNA is filed under the name Sorex araneus (European shrew). Its description in RNAcentral is "U8 small nucleolar RNA (ENSSARG00000019187.1)". The record is from RNAcentral. Lineage: Eukaryota; Metazoa; Chordata; Mammalia; Eulipotyphla; Soricidae.